UACGGAGGGUGCAAACGUUGCUCGGAAUCAUUGGGCGUAAAGCGCACGUAGGCGGCCCAGCAAGUCGGGUGUGAAAGCCCUCGGCUUAACCGAGGAAGUGCAUUCGAAACUACUGAGCUUGAAUACUGGAGAGGAUCGCGGAAUUCCAGGUGUAGCGGUGAAAUGCGUAGAUAUCUGGAGGAAUACCGGUGGCGAAGGCGGCAUCCUGGACCGGCAUUGACGCUGAGGAGCGAAAGCCAGGGGAGCAAACGGG
Molecule: ribosomal RNA, 253 nt
Filed under: uncultured bacterium
Lineage: Bacteria
Description: partial 16S ribosomal RNA
Rfam family: Bacterial small subunit ribosomal RNA
Source: RNAcentral